GGAAAAGUUUCGUGAAGAGCUGUGGCAACAACAAAUGGCAUUCCUCAAAGAGCAAUCAGAGUACAUGGCUGCUUACAACGUACAGGCCCAACAAGCAAUGAACUCUUGGUUUCCACAGCAGGCACGACAGCAACCAUUUGUUUUCCCUCAGUUUCAGCUGCCGAUGCCUCAGUGGAGAUUACAUGCUCCGCCACCUCCACCUCCACCUCAGUGAUCCGGGGUCAUGGGCCACAACACGCCACCACCGG
Molecule: long non-coding RNA, 248 nt
Organism: Zea mays
Lineage: Eukaryota; Viridiplantae; Streptophyta; Magnoliopsida; Poales; Poaceae
Exons: 3
Source: RefSeq, a predicted model, not a curated record